AACUAAAAGUUUGGGAAUGUUGUUCCCCAACGGUUUCUCAGAUGAAGUACGUGUUUCAAACUCUGAUGAAUCAUUACUCUUGCUUUUCAAGGAUCUCAGGUACGGUUUCCCAGAUGAUUUGUGUGUUUCAAGCUCUGAUGAAUCAUUACUGUUGCUUUCCAAAGAUCUCAGGUAGUCUGCACUUACUUUAGAGUUUAUCUGAGCCAUGAAAGCACAACGGGAUAGGGCCACUCUGGAUGCUCUCUCCUUCUGAUAAGCACGUAAGCCAGGG
RNAcentral lists this long non-coding RNA (271 nucleotides) under Durio zibethinus. Its description in RNAcentral is "long non-coding RNA (DZIB_LNC000139)". The record is from RNAcentral. Lineage: Eukaryota; Viridiplantae; Streptophyta; Magnoliopsida; Malvales; Malvaceae.